AUAGAAAAUAGGUUCGCCCAGGGCGAGGCUCAGCCAUUGCACUGCGGUUGUGCUGACCCCUGUGAAUUCCCCACAUGCGGGAAUCUCAACUGCAUAAUUUGUGGUAGUGGGGGACUGCGUUCGCGCUCUCCCCUC
This 135-nucleotide small nuclear RNA is filed under the name Oreochromis niloticus (Nile tilapia). RNAcentral describes it as "U1 spliceosomal RNA (ENSONIG00000035724.1)". It matches the Rfam family "U1 spliceosomal RNA", at positions 30 to 166 of the family's 166-position model. From Rfam's summary of the family: U1 is a small nuclear RNA (snRNA) component of the spliceosome (involved in pre-mRNA splicing). Its 5' end forms complementary base pairs with the 5' splice junction, thus defining the 5' donor site of an intron. There are significant differences in sequence and secondary structure between metazoan and yeast U1 snRNAs, the latter being much longer (568 nucleotides as compared to 164 nucleotides in human). Lineage: Eukaryota; Metazoa; Chordata; Actinopteri; Cichliformes; Cichlidae. The record is from Rfam by way of RNAcentral.